This 72-nucleotide transfer RNA is filed under the name Bos taurus (domestic cattle). It matches the Rfam family "tRNA". Rfam says of the family: Transfer RNA (tRNA) molecules are approximately 80 nucleotides in length. Their secondary structure includes four short double-helical elements and three loops (D, anti-codon, and T loops). RNAcentral also lists the same sequence under 2 other names. The record is from Rfam by way of RNAcentral. Lineage: Eukaryota; Metazoa; Chordata; Mammalia; Artiodactyla; Bovidae.
UCCCUGGAGGUCCAGUGAGUUAGGACACCAAGCUUCCAAAUGGAGGCAUAGGUUCGAUCCCUGGUCAGGGAA